This is a long non-coding RNA of Strongylocentrotus purpuratus (purple sea urchin), 3245 nucleotides long. RefSeq lists it as uncharacterized. The record is from RefSeq and is a predicted model, not a curated record. The transcript is spliced from 2 exons. Lineage: Eukaryota; Metazoa; Echinodermata; Echinoidea; Camarodonta; Strongylocentrotidae.
AAUACUUAUAUGCUAGAUGAUCAACCUUUUCUGAUCGAUUCCACACCGUUUCUUUCACAAUGCAAUCGCAUGACCAUAACUGGUCUUUAUCUUUAAGCUUUUAAUAGUAAGGUAGCAUUUAUACAUUCUAUUGCCAUUGGAGCCGUUACAUGAAUGGACCAUAUUAGAUGUUCACAAGGCUUGGUAAGAUUUGAUGAAUAUGAGCUCAAUAAUUUACCGCUAGUAGUAUCCUGACCACCGAUCACUUGUUACCUCUUUGAUACUUUGUACAACAUGCUCCCACAACCAUUGCUUUGCAGUUAUUUGUCAAAUCUAGUUACACUCCUAUUUACAAACCUGGAUUUAACAAUAUACCAAUCCCAAACCUAAUCCCAAACCUAAUCCCAAACCUAAUCCUAUACAUACAUGUAGACACGCAACCACACCCCUAUACUCUCUUUUGUUCUUAUUAUCACUCACUGAUUUUGCUACUUUCAUCACUUUAUUUUGCUUUACCUGAUAAAUGCUUUCAAUAGUUAUCUAAUAGAUGGUGCUACUUCUUUAUCACUUUUGUACAAUGCAUACCUUAUUUAUAUACAUGUAAGUUCUUGGGCUGCAUUAAUCCCCACCCUUCUUAAUGAAAGUGUUUGUUUUUUUUACUUUUGUACUAAUACGGUAUUCAUUUUAUUCACUAGUUGAAGUAAUCUUUUACAGAUAUUUAGGGGAAGGGGUAUACAGAUCUUACCAUGAAUUUGAACCAAUCUGGCCAUUGGAGAAGCAUUUCAUUUUAAUGUCAAUCAUCCGCAAAAUCUCUUUGACAUAACGUAUGAAGGCUAUUUUUGCAAGUUUUGGCACAUUUGUGAACACUGUGAGAUUUAAAUCAGGGCAAAAUAUGCUGGGUAUACACAAGCUUGAUAACGGGAUGUGUCUUCUUUUGUUAGACUUUGAACAGUACGUCUAUUGCAAACAGUUUAAUUUGUUUUAAUUACUUCAUUUAUUGAUUCCUUGUCUAGCUUUGCAUCAUUUGAGCUGUCUAGUUGAAUAGUGCCUUUAAUGACAUUACUUUUAUCUCACUUGUUAAUAGAUGUAUACAUAACAACAAGAAUCAAUAAUGGUGGCUUCUUGUAUAGCACUCAUGUUUGUAUUAUGCAUUAAUUGUAUAUUAUAAUUAUAGUUGUAAACAAAGGUUGGAUUAGUACAUGUAGAUGUUUAUGAUACAUGCUAGUAUAUUUAUAUGUACAAAAUGUAUCAGGAAAGAUUAGGUAACAGUCUAGUCUAGUAAUACACUUUGGUGACAUCUAGUCCCAUCCUUGGUGUAAUCCUAUCUUAUUGUCCAGUCCAGUUCCUGCUCUAGCCUUCUCUUUUGAAUCCAGACUUCCUUUCUACCAGUUAAAAGGUUGGAAGUGAAUCUGAUUGCAUGCUUAUAUUCUAAAAGGCUUUUGUUUGUACUGUGUUUCCUGCCUCUCAUAAGUAAUUUAUCCUCUCUCCAUUCUUCUUAAACAGGAAAGAAAAAAUUAUAAGUGUUACGUCACUGGAUAUAGCUAUGCUGCAACUGCUGACAUGUAUAUUAGACAACCAAGAUACUUAUUAUCUCUUUUUGCCAAGAAUUAAAGAAAAACUCAUUUUGUUACUUGUUGAAUUUAAAACCUUGUCUUAAAGCCAACAGUAUUUGUAAUGACAUUACUAGGACAUGUUUGUUUAUGUUAUACACUGGCAGAUAAGGUACUUAAUGUUGUUAUAUAUUAUCUCUGGAAUACAAACUCUAGUCUCCUUGAUGGGUUGGUUACCAUGGUGAUGAUAGGAUGUUGGCUCAGCUAUCAUGCUACUGCAGAGGUAAGGACAGUAAGGCUAUUAACAUACAAAGCCAUUUUAAUAAAGAUAUAAGAAGAUCCUUUUUUUCCUUUUUUUGUUUGUUUUAAUGUGAUCAGAAUAUUUUUUGUGGAUCACUAAAAAUCACUCAUAUGUGUAAUUCUUAUUCUGAACAUAUUUGUUCAUUUCUGAAGAAAAAAAGCCAAUGCUCUCUGUAUUACAAUGAAGAUCAAUAGACAUGUAUGCCUUCCACUUAAGACAAGGUGCACACAAUGUAAAUGGUAUUUAAAGAGAAAGUUUUAUAUUUUAUUGAUGAACAACUUAAACUGUCUCUCUUCAAUGAUAUUCUUUGAUUUUAUAGUACCAAUCGAUCAAUUUAAAGAGGUAAGAUUUUAAUCUGAUUUUUAUCUUGAGAAUGAAUAGGAUUAGAGUGUUGACCCGGUAAUAUGAAAAUUGACUUGGAUUCAAUUUUAAAUUCAGCUCAAUCUUACUUAAUGCUACAAUUGAUCAAAAGAGAUACAAAUUUUGAGAAGAUACAAUCAAUUGUAACUCUUUGAUACAAACCCAGAAUAAUAUAUAAUAUACACAAUAACACAUAAACAGGUAGACAGGUUUGUGGAUGUUUUCAGCAACAUACCUCCUUAAAUAUACCAUCACCCACUUUGAGCAAGCCCAUUCAAUCCUAAAUUUUAUCUUUCACAUUUGAGUAUUUUGUGGUUUUUCUAAUCAACAAAUGUCUUUUGAUUUCUUUUUUAACCGUGCUUCAAAAUCUGCAGUGUUGCAUCAUUUUUCCAUCAUCAUGUUUGAUAACAAAUUGCCUCAGAUUGGUUUUGUGAUUUAUUCAACUGUAAAAGCAGUUUAGCCUAUUAUUUGCAUGGUUGAAUUAUUUUGCUUACUACCUCUUAUCAAAAUGAUUAUCAUUAUGUAAGAAGGGAUUAAUUUUGUAUUGUAAAGUUGAAGAAGCAAUCAUGCGACUCCAUGCCCCAUUGUGAAUUUAUGAUCUAAAGACUAAAGUAUUAGCUUUUCCAAACAAAAAACGACCUACACUUUGGGAUGCUUGAUUUCUGUGUGUAGAUGCAUUCAUCCAUAAUUUGUUUGUUUUUUCAUAUAUAUAUAUAGCAGUACAUACAGAAGUGGCCCAAAAGACCAUUGAUAUUAGGUUCAUUGCUAUACUUAUUGUUUGCAUUCCUCUGUACAUCUUCCGCAUUAUGAAAAUAAUUUAUUUAUGUGUAUUUUUGAUUCACAAUUUGUGGGAUUACAACCAUCAAAUGCAUUAAUGAUAUGUAGGUGUUUGUUUUUAAGAAUGUAUUAACACACAAAUGUGAUAUUUUUCUUUGUAUGUGAGAGAGAGAGAGAGAGAGAGAAGAAGAAGAGAGUGUAUUCUUACAAAGGUACUACAAGGGCAUGAUGGUGAUUUAUAAAUAAAAUAAUGCUGAAAGGCAUACGAAAGAUGAUAA